AUUGAACGCUGGCGGCAUGCCUUACACAUGCAAGUCGAACGGCAGCACGGGAGCAAUCCUGGUGGCGAGUGGCGAACGGGUGAGUAAUAUAUCGGAACGUGCCCAGUCGUGGGGGAUAACGUAGCGAAAGCUACGCUAAUACCGCAUACGAUCUAUGGAUGAAAGCGGGGGAGUCGCAAGACCUCGCGCGAUUGGAGCGGCCGAUAUCAGAUUAGGUAGUUGGUGGGGUAAAAGCCUACCAAGCCUUCGAUCUGUAGCUGGUCUGAGAGGACGACCAGCCACACUGGAACUGAGACACGGUCCAGACUCCUACGGGAGGCAGCAGUGGGGAAUUUUGGACAAUGGGCGCAAGCCUGAUCCAGCAAUGCCGCGUGCAGGAUGAAGGCCUCGGUUGUAACUGCUUUGUACGGACGAAACGGUACUCUCUAAUACAGGGGCGUAAUGACGGUACCGUAAGAAUAAGACACCGGCUAACUACGUG
This 481-nucleotide ribosomal RNA is filed under the name uncultured bacterium. Its description in RNAcentral is "bacterial SSU rRNA". It matches the Rfam family "Bacterial small subunit ribosomal RNA", at positions 30 to 507 of the family's 1533-position model. The record is from RNAcentral.